RNAcentral lists this ribosomal RNA (498 nucleotides) under uncultured bacterium. RNAcentral describes it as "partial 16S ribosomal RNA". It matches the Rfam family "Bacterial small subunit ribosomal RNA", at positions 30 to 523 of the family's 1533-position model. The record is from RNAcentral.
AUUGAACGCUGGCGGCAUGCCUUACACAUGCAAGUCGAACGGUAACAGGUCUUCGGAUGCUGACGGGUGGCGAACGGGUGAGUAAUACAUCGGAACGUGCCCGAUCGUGGGGGAUAACGAAGCGAAAGCUUUGCUAAUACCGCAUACGAUCUAAGGAUGAAAGCAGGGGACCGCAAGGCCUUGCGCGAACGGAGCGGCCGAUGGCAGAUUAGGUAGUUGGUGGGAUAAAAGCUUACCAAGCCGACGAUCUGUAGCUGGUCUGAGAGGACGACCAGCCACACUGGGACUGAGACACGGCCCAGACUCCUACGGGAGGCAGCAGUGGGGAAUUUUGGACAAUGGGCGAAAGCCUGAUCCAGCAAUGCCGCGUGCAGGAUGAAGGCCUUCGGGUUGUAAACUGCUUUUGUACGGAACGAAAAGCCCCGGGUUAAUACCCUGGGGUCAUGACGGUACCGUAAGAAUAAGCACCGGCUAACUACGUGCCAGCAGCCGCCGUAA